AGAGUGAACGCUGGCGGUAGGCCUAACACAUGCAGGUCGAACGGCAGCACAGGAGAGCUUGCUCUCUGGGUGGCGAGUGGCGAACGGGUGAGUAAUAUAUCGGAACGUGCCCAGUAGCGGGGGAUAACUACGCGAAAGCGUGGCUAAUACCGCAUACGCCCUACGGGGGAAAGGGGGGGAUCGCAAGACCUCUCACUAUUGGAGCGGCCGAUAUCAGAUUAGCUAGUUGGUGAGGUAAAGGCUCACCAAGGCGACGAUCUGUAGCUGGUUUGAGAGGACGACCAGCCACACUGGGACUGAGACACGGCCCAGACUCCUACGGGAGGCAGCAGUGGGGAAUUUGGACAAGUGGGGGAAACCCUGAUCCAGCCAUCCCGCGUGUGCGAUGAAGGCCUGGGUUAGUAAGC
Molecule: ribosomal RNA, 407 nt
Filed under: uncultured soil bacterium
Lineage: Bacteria
Description: bacterial SSU rRNA
Rfam family: Bacterial small subunit ribosomal RNA
Source: RNAcentral